CGCCGAAGGUGGGGCUGAUGACUGGGGUGAAGUCGUAACAAGGUAGCCGUACCGGAAGGUGCGGCUGGAUCACCUCCUAACAGGGAGACAACAAAUUGAUUGUGAUGUCUAAGUUUUUUAUUCUUAGGCCGCAAUCCUGUCACCUUAAGGUCGAUCGGUACCUCAGAUUUUUGAAUUAGUUUUAUAAUUGAUUCUCUGAUUUCAGUUCCUAAACUUGUCUAGGUCACACCCAACAAAGGUUUCUCCUGGGCCAUUAGCUCAGGUGGUUAGAGCGCACCCCUGAUAAGGGUGAGGUCCCUGGUUCAAGUCCAGGAUGGCCCAUUCGUUGUUGGGGGUAUAGCUCAGUUGGUAGAGCGCCUGCUUUGCAAGCAGGAUGUCAGCGGUUCGAGUCCGCUUACCUCCACUGAAAACUAUCCUGAUAACUAAAUUCUGGAGAAAAAUUUGAAGAUGUGGCUUAGAAUUGUCUAUUCGAAUAGAACCUAGCUUCUUGUCAUCUUUUUAUAGUUGAUAAAAUGCUGGGCUCACAUGGAUUUAUUUCAUGUGUAUUCAGUAGAACCUUGAAAACUGCAUAGAUUAGAAAGAAUAAAGCAUCUCAUGGAUGCAUAAUUCUGCUUUUUAUAAUUUAGCGUUAAAUCUAAAUUAUCAAGCAUAAUUAUUGUUUAAUUCUUGAGUAAAAGCCGAGCACAAUUGAUUUUGUGAUUGUAUUUAAGGUCAAGCUACAAAGGGCUC
RNAcentral lists this unclassified non-coding RNA (729 nucleotides) under uncultured Prochlorococcus sp. RNAcentral describes it as "partial may contain 16S ribosomal RNA, 16S-23S ribosomal RNA intergenic spacer, and 23S ribosomal RNA". The stretch from base 331 to 403 matches the Rfam family "tRNA". The record is from RNAcentral. Lineage: Bacteria; Bacillati; Cyanobacteriota; Cyanophyceae; Synechococcales; Prochlorococcaceae.